UAGUCCGGAUUGGAGUCUGCAACUCGACUCCAUGAAGUCGGAAUCGCUAGUAAUCGUGGAUCAGAAUGCCACGGUGAAUACGUUCCCGGGCCUUGUACACACCGCCCGUCACACCAUGGGAGUGGGCUGCAAAAGAAGUAGGUAGUUUAACCUUCGGGGGGACGCUUACCACUUUGUGGUUCAUGACUGGGGUGAAGUCGUAACAAGGUAGCGCUAGGGGAACCUGGCGCUGGAUCACCUCCUUA
RNAcentral lists this ribosomal RNA (245 nucleotides) under Vibrio parahaemolyticus. RNAcentral describes it as "partial 16S ribosomal RNA". It matches the Rfam family "Bacterial small subunit ribosomal RNA", at positions 1288 to 1533 of the family's 1533-position model. Lineage: Bacteria; Pseudomonadati; Pseudomonadota; Gammaproteobacteria; Vibrionales; Vibrionaceae. The record is from RNAcentral.